RNAcentral lists this long non-coding RNA (3196 nucleotides) under Canis lupus familiaris (dog). RNAcentral's name for it is "lncRNA (ENSCAFG00845006429.1)". Lineage: Eukaryota; Metazoa; Chordata; Mammalia; Carnivora; Canidae. The record is from RNAcentral.
UUUUUUUUUUUCUUUUUAAAUAUCUUGAAAUAUAGCAUUAGAAGCCAUCACUUUGUAGAAGGAAGAAAACGAAUAGUUCACGUUCUUAAUCCUUCCAAAUACCUGGUGGCAUUCAUUUCAGGCACCUGAAAGAUGAAAAGCAGUGCAACUUUCAAUAAUUUAAUGACUACUCUCAGUAUGAGAGACUUUACAUUGCAUCUACCAACUUGAAAAUUAAAUUGAUAACUGAAAUAAAACAAAGCUUUUAGAGAAAACACAUUUAUAACCUAAUCACAGAAAAGGUUCUCUUUAGAAAAUAGCUGUUUCUAGAACUGCACGAAAGGCUUCCCACCUUUAAAUGAACACAGCUUCCACUGAUGCCAACGGAAACGUGUGUUAAGGGGAGAUGACUGGCUCUUCUUAAAACAGGGAAGAUUUAUCCUUCUUUAGAAGGUGAUGUACUUUGGUAACCUGAACAUUCAAUUACAGGAUGAUUUUUUUAGGUUGUUUAAUUGGAUUAUGAAGUCUGGAUAUAGUUAGACCAGCAUUUGAGAAAACAAGGAUAAUUUAAUAAGAGUCAUGACAUUAGCCCCUCAAACCAUCAAGCAGCGAAUUUUAUCAAUAAAUCAUCACAACGGAACCCAGGGUCUUAAGCUUAAUCAGCAAAAUUAGUCAAUUUAAAAGAGAAAGGCAAUAACCAAAGAAUUAGAUUUUAUAAACCAGGCACUUCAAACUGAAAUUUAAAAUUUUUAAGUUAAAAAAAUUUUUAGAAAAAAUUUUUUGCUGUCAGUCAAUGGUCUCAACUUUUAAAUUCUUUGUAAACUAUAAUGUACUUAGGAACCUUGGUAUUAGUUGUAACUGACAUGGGGCCUGCACAGAGGAAGCUUAAAGUAGCAUGAGCACUUUAAGGCAGUUUCAUAUUUUGAUACCGCCAAAUUGAGAUUCCAGUAACAUCGCCUGACAUCUCUGCAGAGACUAUAUGUAAAGACCUGGAACUAUUUUUUUCUAUCAUAAAAAUAUAAUCACUACAAUGUAGUAGAAAUAUCUAAAUGUAUUAGAAUUUAGCAUGAGGUAAAAAAAAGUAUAGCUAUGAUGUCACUAAGCGUCUACGUUUCAUAAUCUGAUAUAAGCUUAAUUCUCCCAUUAAUAAUCAACACAUUAGUAAUCUAAAAACAAAAUAUCCACAGAGUGUUCCUUAGUUGAACCUGGAAAUUGGUUCAAUUCUACUUCAUUGUUUAAUCUGAACUAUGAUUGCUUUUGGUAAAUUCGUCUUGCUGUGGACUUUCCAAGUAAAAAUACCCUAUCUCACCACAUUUUGUCAAGCAAAAGGACACUAAAAAAGUGGGUAUAAGGCAAAAUAAAAUAUAAAUUUUGACCAUUUUAGCUUAAAGCUAAAGGAGUAUGCUUAGCUAUAAAUAUUCCUCAUAGAUGCAUUUACUAUAAUAGCACUCCCCAAUUUUGUUCCACUGCUUUAGAAAAGAAAAUCUAGUUUCUAUACAUUCUUCUCUGUUACUUUUAAAAUCUGAAUAUAUUAUAAAUAAAGUAUUUUAUGUCAAUAACUUAGAGUGAAAAUCACAUUUUUUACCUUUUAGCAACUUUGGGUCACUUGCAAACGCAAACUUUACUAGUCCCCCCCCACCCUCCCGUUAGUACCUAGAAAACUAUUCUCCCUCACUUGGAUGUAUAUUUCAGUUAUUAUUUCACAUUUUGCAGAUGAGUGAAAACAGAGUCAGUGCCACAUGAAAGUUUCUAAUUCUCUUCGUCAUCAAAUCUCAAACUCCUUUCAUUUAAGGUAUUAAAAGUUUAGGACUGCUCAUUCAUCAAGCAAUAACAAUAAUUCUCUCCAUUGUCAUUACCUUAUACAGUAAUGUAUUUUUCAGGGACUACAAAGCUAAGAGACUAAGACUGAUCUGAGAAUAUUCAAAAUAGAAGCCACUAAAUAAGAUAACUGGCCUCUAUUUAGAUUGAUUACAAAAAUAAAAUAGUGAGUGAUCAAAUAAAAGACUGAAAGAGUUAAAUACAACUUCUAAAGUUUCCCAGGGAAUCAUUUACACAAUGGGAGAGUCUGGCUCAGUAGUUAGAAGGUAACAAGAGUUACCAAUGAUACUGCAUUAAACAUGCUGACCAGUCCAUUCCAUCUGAUUUAAUACUUUAACAAAACACAAGUUUUUCUGUUUUUUAAAACAAAGGGCAUGUGUCAUACAUGGAACCUAAUUACCUAACCCUGAAUGGUUGUUGAAACCCUGAAUGGUUGUUGAAAGGUUAAAAUAUAAGAUGGAAUGAGGCUAUUUAAACAUCUUAGCACACUUUGUCUCACUGAAAUUGGGAAUUUUAAAAACCAGCAAUGUACUAACUGUGCAACUAAUUACGUGAAAUACAAAUUAGGAAGAGGACUUGAAAUUCCAAAUAAGGAAAAAAAAAAAAAAAAGAAAUUCCAAAUAAGAGAAAUCCAUUUAAAUAUAUUUGUUGAUAAUCCAUCUGUAUCCGUUUAUAAAAAUUGAAAUAAAAAACCCUCCAAUAAAAAAAAAAACCCUCCAAUAUUAAUCCCUUUAUUUCUGAAUUACUACAAUCACUGUCAUGCUAGACGCUUCCACUGUUUAAAUACACCCCUAAAAAUGGAAAGAAUGACUGCAGGAGCUGUAACAUCCAGUAUCACAGCGAACAUCUUUAACUCCUUCCUAAAGUGUAUCACACCUAUUUGGUAGCAUAGAAAUGGAAAAUAAAUGCUUUUCUUGUAUAAAAUACUUGGUUUUAAAAAGGCAAUUUAUCCCACUUCCUAACAUUUAAGCCCUUUAAAAGAUCACAAAGUUACCCUCUUGGGCCUUAAGAAAGACAGAUAUACUUAAGUACUCUAAACUGGAAUUUUUUCACUGGAAAUUUCUAAUGGAUGGGAUAAUAUAACUGGCUUUCAUCUCUUUGCAAUGUAUCCAUAUACUCUGGUAAAACUUACACAUUCAGGUAUCCCUCUCUUUGAUGAAUUUUAAAUAAACUAAAUAACACUAUAUACAAUUAUCCCUUGCAGCUUAAUUUCCUAAAACAGAUCCAAAAGCUAAAAACCCUUAAAUUGUAUAUCAAGAAAAAUGUAGAGCCUCAAUGAAAGGAAAAAAAGCCUUUGCUAUAUCAUUUUAUGUUAAAGAUUUGUUAGCUACCUGUAUUGCUAAGAUUUGGGGAAUAAACACAUCAAGUAUACAUUUUCAUAGUAUAUUCAAAUUUUUCA